AUGGCGGCGGCGCCGCCCAAGGCCUGGAAGGCGGAGUACGCCAAGUCUGGGCGGUCCUCGUGCAAGUCCUGCAAGUCCCCCAUUGCCAAGGACGCGCUCCGCCUCGGCAAGAUGGUGCAGGCCACCCAGUUCGACGGCUUCAUGCCCAUGUGGAACCAUGCCAAAUGCAUCCUCAACAAGAAAAACCAGAUAAAAUCUGUUGAUGAUGUUGAAGGAAUAGAUGCACUUAGGUGGGAUGACCAAGAGAAGAUAAGAAACUAUGCUGCAAAUUCCUCGACUACUUCAACUGCAACUGCAACUGCAAGUUCCACAGCUCCUAUUUCUGACAAAUGUGCUAUUGAGGUUGCUCAAUCUGCCCGUGCUUCCUGUAGACGGUGCAGUGAAAAGAUUGCAAAAGGCACUGUUCGUGUUUCAUCUAAACUUGAUGGUCAAGGUUGGUAUCAUGUUAGUUGUUUCUUGGAAAUGUCCCCAACUGCAAGUGUUGAGAAAUUCCCAGGCUGGGAGACCUUGUCGCACGAUGAUAGAGGAGCUAUUAUUGAUGUUGUUAAGAAAGGUGCUGCCAGCAAACAAGAAACAUCUUCGAAGGGCUCCAAGCGCAAGAUUGGUGACAUUGAUAUGCGUAACUCCAAAGCUCCGAACUUAGAUGGAAGUACAUCUGAAGGUGCUGCACGAAGCAAAGGAAAACUUGUUGUACCAUGUGAGCCCAAUUCUAGUUCUGCUGAUCUGCACCAAAAGCUUAAAGAGCAGAGUGACACGCUUUGGAAGUUGAAGGAUGAACUCAAAAAGCAUGUUUCAACUGCUGAGCUGAGGGAUAUGCUUGAAGUUAAUGAGCAAGAUCCAUCUGGACCAGAGCGGGAUCUAUUGGAACGGUGUGCUGAUGGGAUGCUGUUUGGAGCGUUGGGCACUUGCCCAGUCUGUAAUAGCUGCCUAUACUAUUAUGGUGGUCACUAUCAGUGCAAUGGCCAUGUUUCAGAGUGGUCCAAAUGUACCUACAUGACAACAGAACCUGUACGCAUGAAGAAAAAAUGGAAAAUUCCUGAUGAAAUAAAGAAUGAUUAUCUUACAAAGUGGUUCAAGUCUCAAAAGGUUAAAAAACCAGAGCGAGUUCUUCCCCCAAUUUCACCUCAGAAGUCUGUAGGUCAAUCACCUCAGCAGUCUCUCGUCGGUGAAGCAUUGGAUAAGUUGAGAGUUUGUAUAGUAGGACAAUCUAAAGAUGUAGCUGAUGAGUGGAAGCAGAAGCUUAAACUUGCUGGUGCCCACUUCAGUCCCAGGGUUACCAAAGAUAUUAAUUGUGUAGUUUCAUGUGGCGGGCUUGAUAACGAGAGUGCUGAAGUCAGGAAAGCUAGGAGGCAGAAGAUACCAAUCGUCAGAGAAGAUUACCUUGGAGAAUGCAUUAGAAAAAACAGGGUGCUUCCAUUUGAUUUAUACAAAGUAGCGACUAUGUUGGAGGAGUCAUCAAAAGGUAGCACGGUCACUGUUAAAGUUAAGGGCCGAAGUGCUGUUCAUGAGGCUUCCGGUCUGCAAGAUACGGGCCAUAUUCUGGAAAAUGGCAAAAGCAUUUACAAUACAACCUUAAACAUUUCUGACAUGACACAAGGUGUUAACAGCUACUAUAUACUUCAGAUCAUCGAAGAGGAUGAUGGGAGUGAAUGCUAUGUAUUUCGAAAGUGGGGACGAGUUGGCAGUGAAAAGAUUGGUGGAAAGAAACUGGAGGAGAUGUCAAAAACUGACGCAAUACGUGAAUUUAAAAGAUUAUUUCUGGAAAAGACUGGAAACCCCUGGGAAGCAUGGGAACAAAAAACAAAUUUUCAGAAGCAGCCUGGGAGAUUUUAUCCACUUGACAUUGAUUACGGAGUAAGGGAAGCACCAAAACGGAAAGACAUGAGCAAAAUGAAAAGUUCACUUGCACCUCAGGUGCUGGAACUCAUGAUGAUGCUUUUCAAUGUUGAAACAUAUAGGGCUGCUAUGAUGGAAUUUGAAAUCAAUAUGGCAGAAAUGCCCCUUGGGAAAUUAAGCAAGGAAAAUAUCCAGAAAGGAUUUGAAGCAUUAACUGAGAUACAGAAUCUACUGGAUGACACUGGCAAUCAAGAACUAGCUCUUAGAGAGAGCUUGAUUGUUGCUGCAAGCAAUCGUUUCUUCACUCUUAUUCCUUCUGUUCAUCCACAUAUUAUACGUGAUAAGGAUGACUUGACAAUGAAAGCGAAAAUGCUUGAAGCUCUUCAGGAUAUUGAAAUUGCUUCUAAACUAGUUGGUUUUGAUGGUGACAAUGAUGAAUCUCUUGAUGAUAAGUACAAAAAACUUCAUUGUGACAUCACCCCGCUAGCUCAUGAUAGUGAAGAUUACAAGCUGGUCGAGAAAUAUCUUCUCAACACACAUGCUCCGACUCACAAGGACUGGUCAUUGGAAUUAGAGGAAGUUUAUGUGCUUGAUCGAGAUGGGGAAGGCAGCAAGUACUCAAGAUAUAAAAAUAAUCUCCAUAACAAGAUGCUAUUAUGGCAUGGUUCAAGGCUGACAAAUUUUAUUGGAAUUCUUAGUCAAGGACUAAGGAUAGCACCUCCUGAGGCUCCUGUGACAGGCUAUAUGUUUGGCAAAGGCCUCUACUUUGCAGAUUUAGUAAGCAAGAGUGCACAGUAUUGUUAUGUGGAUAGAAAAAAUCCGACUGGCUUGAUGCUUCUUUCUGAGGUUGCUCUAGGAGACAUGCAUGAACUGAAAAAGGCCACGCCAAUGGACAAACCUCCAAGAGGAAAGCAUUCGACCAAGGGCUUAGGAAAAACUGUGCCGCUAGAGUCGGAGUUUGUGAAAUGGAGGGAUGAUAUCGUCGUGCCUUGUGGCAAGCCAGUGCCAGCAUCUAUCAGGGCAUCUGAGCUUCUGUACAACGAGUAUAUAGUCUACAACACAGCCCAGGUGAAGAUGCAGUUCUUGUUGAAGGUCAGAUUCCGUCACAAGCGUUGA
Molecule: ribosomal RNA, 2952 nt
Filed under: Triticum aestivum (bread wheat)
Lineage: Eukaryota; Viridiplantae; Streptophyta; Magnoliopsida; Poales; Poaceae
Description: partial small subunit ribosomal RNA
Source: RNAcentral